AUUGCUCACCUGCCUGGGCCUCAGCCCAUGACCAAGGAAACUUUUGCCCUCCCUCCCCAGGAGCUCACUUACAGGCCAUCUUCAAAGGUACUGCCUACCUGAACCUGCCUUGUCCCAAAGGACACACUUCAAUCUGGGGAGAGUUUAAAGUUGUAGACAUAUCCAUUUUCAUUUAAGGAAUAUGAAGAUCAGGGAGGCAAAAUAUAGAGAUAUAGAGAGGAAAAACUGAGAGAUGAUCAGAAAUUCAGACGCAUUCGGAAUGAGCACCCUUGACCAUACCAAGAACAAAGACUCUAUAAAAAUGUGAAGUCUUAUUAUUGUUCAUCCAUGUUCUACGUGGGAUCCACCCAAGACAUUGAAAACUGUACAGAACAGGGUGAAAUUGAAUCAGAUCAUUCUGUACUCCUAACAAGGUCCACCCCAUGAGAGACUUGCAGCAGAAUUAAUGACACUGUAUAUUUUCCUCUACUAACAACAACAAGAACAACAACAACAACAAUCUAGGAAAAUCAAAGGCAGCCCGACAUGGAAAAAAACACAAAAUGAAUAUUUGGAUUACAAAUAGUG
This 567-nucleotide long non-coding RNA is filed under the name Homo sapiens (human). Its description in RNAcentral is "non-protein coding lnc-SCN2A-12:6". The record is from RNAcentral. Lineage: Eukaryota; Metazoa; Chordata; Mammalia; Primates; Hominidae.